GCCUUCGUGGUGUAGUGGUCAACACACUUGGCACGUAUUCGAGAGGUCUGUGGUUCAAGUCCCGCCGAGGACA
This 73-nucleotide transfer RNA is filed under the name Stegodyphus mimosarum. It matches the Rfam family "tRNA". From Rfam's summary of the family: Transfer RNA (tRNA) molecules are approximately 80 nucleotides in length. Their secondary structure includes four short double-helical elements and three loops (D, anti-codon, and T loops). Lineage: Eukaryota; Metazoa; Arthropoda; Arachnida; Araneae; Eresidae. The record is from Rfam by way of RNAcentral.